GUCCUGGCAGUAAACGGUGCACGUUUGGUGUGGGAGGAUUCGACCCCUUCCGUGCCGGAGCUAACGCGUUAAACGUGCCGCCUGGGGAGUACGGUCGCAAGAUUAAAACUCAAAGAAAUUGACGGGGGCCCGCACAAGCGGUGGUGUAUGUGGCUUAAUUCGAUGCAACGCGAAGAACCUUACCUAGCCUUGACAUGCAUCUCUAAGUCGGUGAAAGCCGGCGAGUGUAGCAAAUACACAAUUUGCACAGGUGCUGCAUGGCUGUCGU
RNAcentral lists this ribosomal RNA (268 nucleotides) under uncultured bacterium. RNAcentral describes it as "partial 16S ribosomal RNA". It matches the Rfam family "Bacterial small subunit ribosomal RNA", at positions 793 to 1055 of the family's 1533-position model. The record is from RNAcentral.